Molecule: long non-coding RNA, 3146 nt
Filed under: Carassius auratus (goldfish)
Lineage: Eukaryota; Metazoa; Chordata; Actinopteri; Cypriniformes; Cyprinidae
Description: lncRNA (ENSCARG00000000219.1)
Source: RNAcentral
UCUGGUUCAGCAGUGGUCACAGGCAAGCUGGUGUUUCAACUCCUCAUCUCCAGUGCCCAGUGAAUCUCUGGUCCUCAGUGCUAUCAAUACUCUCCGUCAUUCCAGAGAGUCACAGCUCAAUGAAUCGGUGAAGAUAGUGAAUGUCACCUAUGAGAGUAAGUGUCAUCAUUUUCACUUCAAAAUUUGAACCCAGACUGAGUCACCAAUCAUGUUUUACAGGCUUUUGUCAAAAUUCUAAUGGAUACAGCUUCCAGAAUGGAGAUGUUCAUACAACCAGUCAGCUUCCUCAAUGAGCUACGUCUACCAACCACUACAACAGUGUUUCCAGUCACAACAACCAGUGUUUCUGUUACUACUCCAAAACUCAUGUAAAUUUUGGUUUUUCUAUUUUAAGAAAAUAAAAAAAUGCAAAAAGUAAUGUUUUUAUGGCAAAUAUAUUGAUGUAAAUUAAAUAAAAGUGUUUAUAUUUACAGAUCUGGUUCAGCAGUGGUCACAGGCAAGCUGGUGUUCAACUCCUCAUCUCCAGUGCCCAGUGAAUCUCUGGUCCUCAGUGCUAUCAAUACUCUCCGUCAUUCCAGAGAGUCACAGCUCAAUGAAUCGGUGAAGAUAGUGAAUGUCACCUAUGAGAGUAAGUGUCAUCAUUUUCACUUCAAAAUUUGAACUGAGACUGAGUCACCAAUCAUGUUUUACAGGCUUUUGUCAAAAUUCUAAAAUUACCAUUUCCAUCCAAACAGAAAUCUCAGAAACCUCCUAUGCUGUGGUCUUUACAUUUAACGUGAUUAACAUCAGCAUGCCAGAGGACCCUGUGUCUAGAGGCAACACCAGCCAGAAAGUUCAGGAUACCAUCAAUAAUGCGCUGAACACUCUUCUGAAUGAACCUGGCAGUCCAACUUUACAACCCAAGACCUCCAACUUCACGUAAGAUGCAAAUUAAUUUGACAGUCUUGGCUUCAUGUGUCCUUGCAUUUUACCUUUAUUGAAGCUACGUAACGUUACAAAUACCAAAAAAAAAAGAAAAAAGAAGAAGUGGGUUAAAUUCCCUAAAUGAAACCUAUUAUUUGUCUUGUAGGAGCACUUCAAACCAGAUUAAUGGCAGGAUGGGAUACAGCUUCCAGAAUGGAGAUGUCAUACAACCAGUCAGCUUCCUCAAUGAGCUACGUCUACCAACCACUACAACAGUGUUUCCAGUCACAACAACCAGUGUUUCUGUUACUACUCCAAAACUCAUGUAAAUUUUGGUUUUCUAUUUUAAGAAAAUAAAAAAUGCAAAAGUAAUGUUUUUAUGGCAAAUAUAUUGAUGUAAAUUAAAUAAAAGUGUUUAUAUUUACAGAUCUGGUUCAGCAGUGGUCACAAGCAAGCUGGUGUUCAACUCCUCAUCUCCAGUGCCCAGUGAAUCUCUGGUCCUCAGUGCUAUCAAUACUCUCCGUCAUUCCAGAGAGUCACAGCUCAAUGAAUCGGUGAAGAUAGUGAAUGUCACCUAUGAGAGUAAGUGUCAUCAUUUUCACUUCAAAAUUUGAACCCAGACUGAGUCACCAAUCAUGUUUUACAGGCUUUUGUCAAAAUUCUAAAAUUACCAUUUCCAUCCAAACAGAAAUCUCAGAAACCUCCUAUGCUGUGGUCUUUACAUUUAACGUGAUUAACAUCAGCAUGCCAGAGGACCCUGUGUCUAGAGGCAACACCAGCCAGAAAGUACAGGAUACCAUCAAUAAUGCGGUAAACGUCAAAAAUUAACAUUUUAAUACUACUUAGAUCCAAUGCCAGUGUUCUCCAGAAACUGAUGAAUGGUUUGAUUUUCCCCCUUCAGCUGAACACUCUUCUGAAUGAACCCGGAAGUCCAACUUUACAAGCCAAGACCUCCAACUUCACGUAAGAUGCAAAUUAAUUCACAGACUUGGCUUCAUGUGUCCUUGCAUUUUAACUUUAUUGAAGCCACGUAACGUUACAAAUACCAAAAAAAAACAAAAACAAGAAGAGGGUUAAAUUUCCUAAAUGAAACCUAUUAUUCGCCUUGUAGGAGCACUUCAAACCAGAUUAAUGGCAGGAUGGGAUACAGCUUCCAGAAUGGAGAUGUCAUACAACCAGUCAGCUUCCUCAAUGAGCUACGUCUACCAACCACUACAACAGUGUUUCCAGUCACAACAACCAGUGUUUCUGUUACUACUCCAAAACUCAUGUAAAUUUUGGUUUUCUAUUUUAAGAAAAUUAAAAAAUGCAAAAGUAAUGUUUUUAUGGCAAAUAUAUUGAUGUAAAUUAAAUAAAAGUGUUUAUAUUUACAGAUCUGGUUCAGCAGUGGUCACAGGCAAGCUGGUGUUCAACUCCUCAUCUCCAGUGCCCAGUGAAUCUCUGGUCCUCAGUGCUAUCAAUACUCUCCGUCAUUCCAGAGAGUCACAGCUCAAUGAAUCGGUGAAGAUAGUGAAUGUCACCUAUGAGAGUAAGUGUCAUCAUUUUCACUUCAAAAUUUGAACCCAGACUGAGUCACCAAUCAUGUUUUACAGGCUUUUGUCAAAAUUCUAAAAUUACCAUUUCCAUCCAAACAGAAAUCUCAGAAACCUCCUAUGCUGUGGUCUUUACAUUUAACGUGAUUAACAUCAGCAUGCCAGAGGACCCUGUGUCUAGAGGCAACACCAGCCAGAAAGUACAGGAUACCAUCAAUAAUGCGGUAAACGUCAAAAAUUAACAUUUUAAUACUACUUAGAUUCAAUGCCAGUGUUCUCCAGAAACUGAUGAAUGGUUUGAUUUUCCCCUUCAGCUGAACACUCUUCUGAAUGAACCCGGAAGUCCAACUUUACAACCCAAGACCUCCAACUUCACGUAAGAUGCAAAUUAAUUUCACAGACUUGGCUUCAUGUGUCCUUGCAUUUUAACUUUAUUGAAGCCACAUAACGUUACAAAUACCAAAAAAAACAAAAACAAGAAGUGGGUUAAAUUUCCUAAAUGAAACCUAUUAUUCGCCUUGUAGGAGCACUUCAAACCAGAUUAAUGGCAGGAUGGGAUACAGCUUCCAGAAUGGAGAUGUCAUACAACCAGUCAGCUUCCUCAAUGAGCUACGUCUACCAACCACUACAACAGUGUUUCCAGUCACAACAACCAGUGUUUCUGUUACUACUCCAAAACUCAUGUAAAUUUUGGUUUUCUAUUUUAAGAAA